AGCAGUCACGUGAAAGACCGAGCGCCGCGCGCCCAGGCGGGGCCUCCCGCCUGCACAAGGAGGGCAGAGUCCGUUGCGGCUGCCGCCCCGACGCCAGCGCAUCCCCGCUCGCCGCGCCCGCCGCCGCGAUGUCUGGGGCCGGCCUAGCCGCCGUGGUGAGCCGCCUGCCCCCGCAGCCUGGCGAGGAGCCGCAGACCCAUGAG
Molecule: small RNA, 203 nt
Filed under: Pongo abelii (Sumatran orangutan)
Lineage: Eukaryota; Metazoa; Chordata; Mammalia; Primates; Hominidae
Description: processed transcript
Source: RNAcentral